GGAGCCCCAGGAAUACCCACCCGCUGCCCAGAUCGGCAGCCGCUGCUGCGGGGAGAAGCAGUAUCGUGCAGGGCGGGCACGCUGGUCUUGCUUACAGUUGGGCUUCGGUGGGUUUGAAGCACACAUUAGGGGGAAAUGGCUCUGUUCCUGCAGAUUUUAUAGGUUCAGAAAGUGUGUCUCAGAGGAGUUAGAGAAGACCGAUUAAUAGAUGACAGUGCUAAAGCCUGGAUCUCCUGAAUCCUGGAUGAAAGUGUCCUAAGUUAGAUUCCUGGGAAGAAAAUUCUGAGACACAUUCUGCAGGAUGAUUAUUAGGGCUCAUCCUUGGUUUCAACACCCAUAGAAGGAAGGGGGAAGAAGAAAUCGAACAGAGAGACAGAAGUCGAGAUGCAUUUCAGGCCAGGACUCUUGGCUGAACCCACAGGAGCUCUGGAGCUAGAAUGGCCCUUCAGAGUUGUCCUGAGUUGGUCUGAGAUGGCCAGUUCUUUAUAUUCCUGCAUGGGAUAGUCACUGGAUGUCCACCCCAGGAAGGGGUGUGGCCAAGACAGUCCCUAAAAUGCCCGCCAGCACUCCCUACACCUGGAGCGACAAGACCAACAUCACAGGGGGAAUGCACUGGGUGAUGGAUCACAGCGUUCAUCCCAGAAGAUGAGGAUACAGAAUUGGCUGACAACUACGUUCUAAAUGUCAGUGUUCUCCAAAAUUCAUAUGUUGAAACUUAAUUCCCAAUGUGAUGGCAUUAGGAAGUGGGGCCUUUGGGGGAGGGACUAUAGGUCAUGAGGGUGUAACCCUCAUCAAUGGGAUUAGUGUCCAGAGAGCUGCCUUGCCCUUCCACCAUGUGAGGACAUAGUGAGAAGGUGCCAUCUAUGAACUAGGAAGUGGGCGCUUACCACCAGACACCCACUCUUCUGGCAACUUGAUCUUGAAUUUCCCAGCCUCCAGAACUCUGAGAAAUCAAUUUCUGUUAAUUAUAAGCUACCCAGUCGAUAGCAUUUUGUUAAAGCUGCUGGAACUAAACUAAGACACUGACGCUUUCUGCGACAAAAAGAUAGAGUGAGUCUCUAUAGCAUACCAUGUAACAGAUGUUUUUGGAAAAAUAACCUCAUUUCAUAUGUUUCCUCAAGAUAAAAAGAAUGUCAUAACAACAAAUGAGAAAAUAGUUGCUUUAGAAAUAUUGCACCCUAUGGAGAGAGUAUUUUGGAUUUUGGUUUUUUGUUUUGUUUUUUAACUUUUGUUUUAGGUUUGGGGGUACAUAUGCAGGUUUGUUAUAUAGGUAAACUCAUGUCACAGGGGUUUGUUGUACAGAUAAUUUCCUCACCCAGGUACUAAGCCUAGUACCCAAUAGUUGCUUUUUCUCCUCCUCUCUCUCCUCCCACCCUCCACCCUCAAAUAGGCCCCAGUGUAUGUUGUUCUCUUCAUUAUGUUCAUGAAGUUGAGAGAGUGUUUUGAAAAAGAAUGUUGGAAAGCAUUUCCACUGUUAGAUGAUUUUAAGUCAAAAAGUUAUACAACAGUGUGACCUAUUUGCACACAAGCAUGGACACAGAAUUGUGUCAUAUGUUUAAAACUUUUCUAGAUCCUUUUGUGGUUCAUAAGCUUGAUGAUUGAGUUUUCGCGUCCACAUGUGAGAUGUGCCUCCCUUGAGCCUUGUCAUUGGCACAUUACCUGCCUGAUGUGAACAAUAAAAAUAAAAAAUAAAAAUUUGCUAA
Homo sapiens (human) is the source of this 1703-nucleotide long non-coding RNA. Ensembl annotates it as ELOVL2 antisense RNA 1. Its record names the gene ELOVL2-AS1. NCBI's taxonomy places the organism in Eukaryota, Metazoa, Chordata, Mammalia, Primates, Hominidae. The record is from Ensembl.